UACGUAGGGUGCAAGCGUUGUCCGGAUUUAUUGGGCGUAAAAGGCUUGUAGGUGGCCACGCCAAGUCGGAUGUGAAAUCUCCCGGCUCAACUGGGAGGGGUCAUUCGAUACUGGCGGGCUCGAGGCCGGUAGGGGGAAGUGGAAUUCCCGGUGUAGUGGUGGAAUGCGUAGAUAUCGGGAGGAACACCAGUGGCGAAGGCGGCUUCCUGGACCGGUUCUGACACUGAGGAGCGAAAGCGUGGGGAGCGAUCCGG
Molecule: ribosomal RNA, 254 nt
Filed under: uncultured bacterium
Lineage: Bacteria
Description: partial 16S ribosomal RNA
Rfam family: Bacterial small subunit ribosomal RNA
Source: RNAcentral